GACGAACGCUGGCGGCGUGCUUAACACAUGCAAGUCGAACGGAAAGGCCCUGCUUUUGUGGGGUGCUCGAGUGGCGAACGGGUGAGUAACACGUGAGUAACCUGCCCUUGACUUUGGGAUAACUGCAGGAAACUGGGGCUAAUACCGGAUAGGAGCUCCUGCUGCAUGGUGGGGGUUGGAAAGUUUCGGCGGUUGGGGAUGGACUCGCGGCUUAUCAGCUUGUUGGGGGGGUAGUGGCUUACCAAGGGUUUGACGGGUAGCCGGCCUGAGAGGGUGACCGGCCACAUUGGGACUGAGAUACGGCCCAGACUCCUACGGGAGGCAGCAGUGGGGAAUAUUGCACAAUGGGCGGAAGCCUGAUGCAGCAACGCCGCGUGCGGGAUGACGGCCUUCGGGUUGUAAACCGCUUUCGCCUGUGACGAAGCGUGAGUGACGGUAAUGGGUAAAGAAGCACCGGCUAACUACGUG
RNAcentral lists this ribosomal RNA (468 nucleotides) under uncultured bacterium. Its description in RNAcentral is "partial 16S ribosomal RNA". It matches the Rfam family "Bacterial small subunit ribosomal RNA", at positions 28 to 507 of the family's 1533-position model. The record is from RNAcentral.